Molecule: ribosomal RNA, 858 nt
Filed under: Triticum aestivum (bread wheat)
Lineage: Eukaryota; Viridiplantae; Streptophyta; Magnoliopsida; Poales; Poaceae
Description: partial small subunit ribosomal RNA
Source: RNAcentral
AUGAAGGAUGCUGCUGUGAGCCAUGCCACCCCAUCAGGAAGUGUUGAAGUGGAUGCCCCCGAGACCAACCUAAGCAAGGAAGAUUCCCGCUCAUCUGACACUGAUUCCAAGCGCGUGCGUGGUGGCACUCCUGUGCCCACGACAGAAGUUGCUGAGGCGGCAGUUCAUAAUGAUAUGCCAUCUGCAGGUGAGAGUCUUGGCACUACAGCUCCAGCUCCUGGUGGUGCAUAUAUUGCUCAGGCCACUAUUCCAUGUGCUGGUCUUCCACCUAGGCGUCGUAGCCCCCGCAAGCAAUCAAUAGUCGUAUCCAACGCACCAGCUGCAGCUAGGAGCAGCAGAGAUGAGUCUGGUUACGUCCCUGCGUCCACACUGUUCCCGCCAACUGCCAAAAGCAAUGUUAUGGAGAAACCAGAAGACCAUAGUACAACUGAUGCAGGUGCCAAGCCGGGCACGAGUGAUGAAGGUGAACGUCCGGAGCAGGCUGCGCCUUUACCCGCAGUGGAAAUCCCCAGCUUAAAUCUGCUCACUUCCAAACUCCCAAUCAACAUUGGUGUCCCCUACAGCCCCAACAAGAGGAUUGUCAACAAAUCUACGCCCAUCACCACUGACAGCACGCCCCGCCCUAUUGGCAAGCCUGAUGAUUCUGCAGCGCCUGAUUCAGAUAUGUUUGUUGAUCUUUCACCAUUGGAUUCUGCCCCGCAAGUUGUUCGUGGUCCGGCCAGUAGGCAUGAGAGGCACCCAAUGGCCUUCACCCCACCGAGCUUCAGCCUUGGCGUCAGUCAAGAUCAACCAGUGGCUCAAGAUCCUAUGCCAGUUGCCUUUGCUUUUUCGGGAGGCAUGCCCGCAAUGAUGGCGUAG